This 2248-nucleotide long non-coding RNA is filed under the name Salvia miltiorrhiza (redroot sage). RNAcentral's name for it is "long non-coding RNA (SMIL_LNC005595)". Lineage: Eukaryota; Viridiplantae; Streptophyta; Magnoliopsida; Lamiales; Lamiaceae. The record is from RNAcentral.
AAGACAAAACGCUAGAAAACACAAAAUUAGAAAGUAAAAAUAAAUGUUGGAGAUCAUAAGAAUGCAAAAUAUCCAACAGAAAAGGUGAGCAAAUCACCUAGUAGGAAAUUAGGAAUAAACUAUAGUACUCCUUAUUUAAUGAUGAAGCCUCUUUUUUUCCUUCAUUAGGGAAUAUCACUUCCUUUACAAUCACCAAUCCUGCUACGAAGGAAUUUCCUAUUUAACGUCUCAAAAAAAGGUAUUUCCUAAUUAAAAGUAGUUUUGCUUUUCUAAAGUUUCGACCUUGUAGUUCAUUUCCAACAUCACUUAUAGAGUUCUUGUAGCUAUGCUAUUUACUUAAACCCAAUUUUAGUUACCAAUAUUGAAUUUGAUGAUUAUCCAGGUGGAGAGAGUAAUUAUUUGUUCAAUUACUGUCAAAUUAUUUCAAACUCAGAAAAGGUAAGGGUACUGUAUUGAGUUGGGCUACAUGAUAGUAUACCUAAGAUUCUCGAGAGCUAUAGUUCUAUAUUUAUGAUGGUGUGUUAGUAUAUGAUCUAUUGGCAUAAUUUGUUGGUGUGUUUUUAUGAUGGUGUGUUAGUAUAUGAUCUAUUGGCAUAAUUUGUUGGUGUGUUUGAAAAAUUUAUGUUCCAUAGGCAAGCUCAAGUUGUUUAUGCAUUUUAACAUGGACCCUAAAAACUAAUACUACAUUUUAAUUUAUCGUGAUUUCAAUGAGUAAGAGAGAAAAUGCAUGUUAUGGAGACAUACCCAAGUGCAAGAUAAUGCUCACUACGCCCGAGGAGAUGUAACUCUUGUAGAAGUGAAUGUCGGCGAACGAGCACGUGCCUGAGAAUAAUCUAGAAAAAAGAAUCACAUGAAUAUUUAAACAAAUCAUAUUUAUCUUUUUUACUGGGGAGGGGGAGCAGUGGGGUUUGAACCCUAGUACAAACAGGAGUUCGCUUCGCUUGGUGUCCCCUUGAGGACAUCAAACAAAUCAUAUUAAUACUACUACAUUUUGUACAAAAAUUAGUACAUGAAAAAUUAAGAAUAUCAAAGUUUAAUUAAAAUCCUACUUAUUCAUAAUUAAAAAAUUAACUAAAAUCCUAUUGACAUAAUUAUAUCGAGCAUCCCUAUUUUGGAAGCACCCGAUUAUAUUUUUGUCCAGUACUUCCAAUAUACCUACGGAAAUUACUUCAAUCAUUAAACAUUGCAAAAGUAAUAAAUUAAUCAAACAAUAAUUAAAUCAAUUAUAUUCAAUUAAUUAAUCAAAAUAAGUCUAAGUUAAAACUCUAGGCCCAUUCCUUAAUCCUUAUCAUCAAAUCCAACAAUAUUUCAUUAUCAUCAUCUGUACUCAUGAUCCAUUCCAAACACACUAUUAUUAUCAAUCGAAGAUAGAGACUUAGUUAAAAUCCCCUGUUCCACGGUGCUAUCUCUACUCUCUCAUUCUCGGUUGCACCCAUAGUCACCUCUCUUUGUGUACCCUGUCAAUACUGUCUCACAGCUUCAUCUGCCUCUGCACUUCACAUUUGCAACAGAGAAUGAAUCUCAUCCCCGGCUAUCAAAUCUCAAAUCCCUCUUCUUCUUAAUUUUCGGCGAAUAACCAGAACGGUUUGUUCUCUCCAUCAAUCAGCCGUCCGCCUAUAUCUCACCGCCGUUCCCUAUCGUCGACCACUCUCCUCAGCUCGGCCCGACAAUCAGCAGCUAAGAAAACUGCGUCGAUGUUGCCGACCAGCACUCUCAACACAGACAACAACACAAGAAAUUGAGCCACAACUCAGCCAAAUUCCCAAUCGUCGACCCACCCUGCACACCUAAGCUGCUGCCGAUGCCAACGCCAACCCACACCCUCAACGCAAGCAACAAAUCAAGAAACCCAGCCCCAAGACUAUAGUUCUAUUGUGUUGUGCUGUGCUCAGUUUUGUGAAAAAAUUUCUAGGGUUCAUCAGAAAAUUUAAUGAUAAAAUGCAGGUUUAAGAAAUCAAAGCUCACCUCCUUAUUUUGCUGGUGUAAUGGAUUUCUCUUUUGUGGAUUUUGGUUGAAUUUUGAUCUGACUUUGCACUUUCACCGUCGAAUUUGGGGGAGAUUCUUACGGCAGAACUCCUUUUUUCUUUUCGUCGCCGGAAUUGUAUCAGAUGGUCAAAGUGAAAAACAAAAAUUUGUGAAUCUGAUGAGAUAGACUCAAAUAUUGGAAAAAGGUCACAAAUGGAACGAAAAUUACGAAAAUGCCAUGGGCACUAUUUUUACUACAGUACUAUUCCUCACAAUAGUACCC